GAGCACGUAGGUGGGUUUGUAAGUCAGAUGUGAAAGCCUUCUGUUCAAAGGAAGAACGGCAUCUGAAACUGCAAAUCUUGAGUGUAGGAGGGGAGAGUGGAACUUCUGGUGGAGCGGUGAAAUGCGUAGAUAUCAGAAGGAACGUCGGCGGCGAAAGCGACUCUCUGGCCUAUUACUGACACUGAGUGUGCGAAAGUUAGGGGAGCAAACGGGAUUAGAUACCCCGGUAGUCCUAACUGUAAACGAUGGGCACUAAGUAGAGGGAAUUACCAAUGUUCUCUCUGCCGUAGCUAACGCAUUAAGUGCCCCGCCUGGGGAGUACGGCCGCAAGGCUAAAACUCAAAAGAAUUGACGGGGGCUCGCACAAGCGGUGGAGCAUGUGGCUUAAUUCGAUGCAACGCGAAAAACCUUACCGGGGUUUGACAUGGUAGAAGUAGGAGCCCGAAAGGGUAACCAACGGUAUCCAGUCCGUAACUACUGCAGGUGUUGCAUGGCUGUCGUCAGCUCGUGUCGUGAGACGUUGGGUUAAGUCCCCUAACGAGCGAAACCCUUAUUUUUAGUUACCAUCGGGUUAUGCCGGGUACUCUAGAAAGACUGCCGUCGUCAAGACGGAGGAAGGUGGGGAUGACGUCAAGUCAUCAUGGCCCUUAUACCCCGGGCUGCACACGUGCUACAAUGGUCGGUACAAAAGGAAGCAAGACCGAGAGGUGAAGCGAAUCC
Molecule: ribosomal RNA, 720 nt
Filed under: uncultured bacterium
Lineage: Bacteria
Description: bacterial SSU rRNA
Rfam family: Bacterial small subunit ribosomal RNA
Source: RNAcentral